Molecule: ribosomal RNA, 440 nt
Filed under: uncultured bacterium
Lineage: Bacteria
Description: partial 16S ribosomal RNA
Rfam family: Bacterial small subunit ribosomal RNA
Source: RNAcentral
CCUACGGGAGGCAGCAGUAGGGAAUAUUGCUCAAUGGAGGAAACCCUGAAGCAGCAACGCCGCGUGGAUGAUGAAGGUUUUCGGAUUGUAAAGUCCUUUUCUUAGAGAAGAUAAUAGCGACGUCUAACUAAUAAUCAGCCGCUAACUCCUACCCAGCAGCCGCGGUAAUACGGAGUGUGCAAGCGUUACUCGGAAUCACUGGGCGUCAAGAGGGCGUAGGCGGUGUAUCAAGUUAGAUGUGAAAUCCUAUGGCUCAACUAUAGAACUACAAUUAAAACUGUUAUUCUAGAGUACGGGAGGGGCAAGUGGAAUUCCUGGUGUAGGGGUAGAAUCCGUAGAGAUUAGGAGGAACACUAGUUGCGAAGGCGAAUUGCUAGACUGUAACUGACGCUGAGGCGCGAAAGCGUGGGGAGCAAACAGGAUUAGAUACCCCUGUAGUC